GCAGAGACAAGGAAAUGCUGUCACCGCUGUUAAACACGCACGUGGAGUUUUGUUAAAGCUAUGGUGGUCAGCUGGCUCUAAGGAAAAGCUACUUGCCAGCGGUGCAAGUGCUGGUAACCAAAAAAGGGGAAUGGACAGUUUAGGAGCUCCAGCACUCCUCAGCAGAGCUGCAAUCCUGGCUGGCCUUCUGAGGGGGCAGUGAGUGCAGAAGUCGGGAGGAAGUCCUGCUGUGCCCUGCCUCAAUGAGACCUGCUUUAUGGUAGAGCCAACAGUGGCUCCUGGAUGCAAAAAGCAGAAACGCCUGGAUUGGCCUUGGCCUCUGACAUCUCUGGAAGUGCUGAGAGCCUGAGCUGUAAGGUGAGGCACAUGUGCUCACAGCCCCUU
Dipodomys ordii (Ord's kangaroo rat) is the source of this 384-nucleotide long non-coding RNA. RefSeq lists it as uncharacterized. Lineage: Eukaryota; Metazoa; Chordata; Mammalia; Rodentia; Heteromyidae. The record is from RefSeq and is a predicted model, not a curated record. The transcript has 3 exons.